This 497-nucleotide ribosomal RNA is filed under the name uncultured bacterium. RNAcentral describes it as "partial 16S ribosomal RNA". It matches the Rfam family "Bacterial small subunit ribosomal RNA", at positions 28 to 507 of the family's 1533-position model. The record is from RNAcentral.
GAUGAACGCUGGCGGCGUGCCUAAUACAUGCAAGUCGAGCGAACAGACGAGGAGCUUGCUCCUCUGACGUUAGCGGCGGACGGGUGAGUAACACGUGGAUAACCUACCUAUAAGACUGGGAUAACUUCGGGAAACCGGAGCUAAUACCGGAUAAUAUAUUGAACCGCAUGGUUCAAUAGUGAAAGACGGUUUUGCUGUCACUUAUAGAUGGAUCCGCGCCGCAUUAGCUAGUUGGUAAGGUAACGGCUUACCAAGGCAACGAUGCGUAGCCGACCUGAGAGGGUGAUCGACCACACUGGAACUAAGACGCGGUCCAGACUCCUACGGGAAGCAGCAGUAGGGAAUCUUCCGCAAUGGGCGAAAGCUUGACGGAGCAACGCCGCGUGUGUGAUGAAGGUCGUCGGAUAGUAAAACUCUGUUAUUAGAGAAGAACAAAUGUGUGAGUAACUAUGCACGUCUUGACGGUACCUAAUCAGAAAGCGACAGCUAACUACGUG